Molecule: ribosomal RNA, 432 nt
Filed under: uncultured bacterium
Lineage: Bacteria
Description: partial 16S ribosomal RNA
Rfam family: Bacterial small subunit ribosomal RNA
Source: RNAcentral
ACGAACGCUGGCGGCAUGCCUAACACAUGCAAGUCGAACGAGACCUUCGGGUCUAGUGGCGCACGGGUGCGUAACGCGUGGGAACCUGCCCUUAGGUUCGGAAUAACUCCCCGAAAGGGGUGCUAAUACCGGAUAAUGUCUUCGGACCAAAGAUUUAUCGCCUUUGGAUGGGCCCGCGUUGGAUUAGCUAGUUGGUAGGGUAAAAGCCUACCAAGGCGACGAUCCAUAGCUGGUCUGAGAGGAUGAUCAGCCACACUGGGACUGAGACACGGCCCAGACUCCUACGGAAGGCAGGAGUGUGGAAUAUUGGACGAGGGGCGAAAGCCUGGUCCAGCAGUGCCGCGUGAGUGAUGAAGGGCUUAGGGUUGUAAAGCUCUUUUACCCGGGGUGAUAAUGACAGUACCGGGAGAAUAAGCUCCGGCUAACUCCGUG